Molecule: unclassified non-coding RNA, 350 nt
Filed under: Hevea brasiliensis (rubber tree)
Lineage: Eukaryota; Viridiplantae; Streptophyta; Magnoliopsida; Malpighiales; Euphorbiaceae
Source: RNAcentral
AAUAAUAGUUUGACUGGCAUUGACUAACAAAAAAAUUAAUGAAGGGAUUAAACAGUUUAACAGAACAAUUUACAGCCACCAAACAGUAUAUUUUUCAAAAUGUAGGAACCAAGUAGUUAAUUUCAAUAAAGUGCACAGCCUAAAUAGUAAUUUAUUCUAAAAUAAAUUAACAUUAAAAAAAUUUAAACAUAAAAUAAGUUUUUAAAAAUUUUUACAAUGAUUUAAAUUUUUUUUUAAUUACAAAAGCUAUGAAUAAUUUUUUUUAUUCUUUUAAAUUCAUGUUUUCCAUAUUUUCUUUUGCUUUUCAUAGAAAAUGAAAACUAUAAUUUUCUUAGAAAAUGGAAAAUGAA